Molecule: long non-coding RNA, 359 nt
Organism: Podarcis raffonei (Aeolian wall lizard)
Lineage: Eukaryota; Metazoa; Chordata; Lepidosauria; Squamata; Lacertidae
Exons: 4
Source: RefSeq, a predicted model, not a curated record
CCCAGGACCAUGACACAAGAGGCCCUGACUGUCUCCCAUCACCACUCUCAGUAUCUCAAAAGGGCAGGCGUCUGAAGCAAGGCCUUUGAUGACAACUCAAGUGUCAUCAACCUAAGUUCAUACAGGGGUUGAAAGGAACUCUGGCUGGGAGAGAUUGAUUUAUGUCAGCACAGCAGAGUAUUGUACACUGAAUACUCCAGGUUGGGGUGAGAUACAACAACCCUGCAGUGGUUCAUUGUUAUAACAAGGAAAGGAUAACAAGUUACAAGGAAGAGAUGGGCUCCUGGAACUUCGACUGCCAUACAGAGAGGAAAUUUAAGAAGGGAAAUCAUGCAGGCUGAGAAAGAGAUGUCUGCUGA